RNAcentral lists this ribosomal RNA (347 nucleotides) under uncultured soil bacterium. Its description in RNAcentral is "bacterial SSU rRNA". It matches the Rfam family "Bacterial small subunit ribosomal RNA", at positions 26 to 376 of the family's 1533-position model. The record is from RNAcentral.
AGAUUGAACGCUGGCGGCAGGCCUAACACAUGCAAGUCGAGCGGUAGAGAGGUGCUUGCAUCUCUUGAGAGCGGCGGACGGGUGAGUAAUGCCUAGGAAUCUGCCUAGUGGUGGGGGAUAACGUUCGGAAACGGACGCUAAUACCGCAUACGUCCUACGGGAGAAAGCGGGGGACCUUCGGGCCUCGCGCCAUUAGAUGAGCCUAGGUCGGAUUAGCUAGUUGGUGAGGUAAUGGCUCACCAAGGCGACGAUCCGUAACUGGUCUGAGAGGAUGAUCAGUCACACUGGAACUGAGACACGGUCCAGACUCCUACGGGAGCAGCAGUGGGGAAUAUUGGACAAGUGGG